This 2861-nucleotide ribosomal RNA is filed under the name Salmonella enterica subsp. enterica serovar Typhimurium. RNAcentral describes it as "bacterial LSU rRNA". It matches the Rfam family "Bacterial large subunit ribosomal RNA". Lineage: Bacteria; Pseudomonadati; Pseudomonadota; Gammaproteobacteria; Enterobacterales; Enterobacteriaceae. The record is from RNAcentral.
AGCGUACACGGUGGAUGCCCUGGCAGUCAGAGGCGAUGAAGGACGUGCUAAUCUGCGAUAAGCGCCGGUAAGGUGAUAUGAACCGUUAUAACCGGCGAUUUCCGAAUGGGGAAACCCAGUGUGAUUCGUCACACUAUCAUUAACUGAAUCCAUAGGUUAAUGAGGCGAACCGGGGGAACUGAAACAUCUAAGUACCCCGAGGAAAAGAAAUCAACCGAGAUUCCCCCAGUAGCGGCGAGCGAACGGGGAGGAGCCCAGAGCCUGAAUCAGCAUGUGUGUUAGUGGAAGCGUCUGGAAAGGCGCGCGAUACAGGGUGACAGCCCCGUACACAAAAGCGCAUGUGCUGUGAGCUCGAUGAGUAGGGCGGGACACGUGGUAUCCUGUCUGAAUAUGGGGGGACCAUCCUCCAAGGCUAAAUACUCCUGACUGACCGAUAGUGAACCAGUACCGUGAGGGAAAGGCGAAAAGAACCCCGGCGAGGGGAGUGAAAAAGAACCUGAAACCGUGUACGUACAAGCAGUGGGAGCACAGGUUUACCUGUGUGACUGCGUACCUUUUGUAUAAUGGGUCAGCGACUUAUAUUCUGUAGCAAGGUUAACCGAAUAGGGGAGCCGGAGGGAAACCGAGUCUUAAUUGGGCGUUAAGUUGCAGGGUAUAGACCCGAAACCCGGUGAUCUAGCCAUGGGCAGGUUGAAGGUUGGGUAACACUAACUGGAGGACCGAACCGACUAAUGUUGAAAAAUUAGCGGAUGACCUGUGGCUGGGGGUGAAAGGCCAAUCAAACCGGGAGAUAGCUGGUUCUCCCCGAAAGCUAUUUAGGUAGCGCCUCGUGAAUUCAUCUCCGGGGGUAGAGCACUGUUUCGGCUAGGGGGCCAUCCCGGCUUACCAACCCGAUGCAAACUGCGAAUACCGGAGAAUGUUAUCACGGGAGACACACGGCGGGUGCUAACGUCCGUCGUGAAGAGGGAAACAACCCAGACCGCCAGCUAAGGUCCCAAAGUCAUGGUUAAGUGGGAAACGAUGUGGGAAGGCCCAGACAGCCAGGAUGUUGGCUUAGAAGCAGCCAUCAUUUAAAGAAAGCGUAAUAGCUCACUGGUCGAGUCGGCCUGCGCGGAAGAUGUAACGGGGCUAAACCAUGCACCGAAGCUGCGGCAGCGAACGUAUCACCCAAGACAACUUUACGGAGUUGACGAUUGACGGAGCGAAGCGACGUCAAAGCGUUCAUUAAAGUCGAGUUGGCUUAGGGAUACGUUCGUUGGGUAGGGGAGCGUUCUGUAAGCCUGUGAAGGUGUGUCGUGAGGCAUGCUGGAGGUAUCAGAAGUGCGAAUGCUGACAUAAGUAACGAUAAAGCGGGUGAAAAGCCCGCUCGCCGGAAGACCAAGGGUUCCUGUCCAACGUUAAUCGGGGCAGGGUGAGUCGACCCCUAAGGCGAGGCCGAAAGGCGUAGUCGAUGGGAAACGGGUUAAUAUUCCCGUACUUGGUGUUACUGCGAAGGGGGGACGGAGAAGGCUAUGUUGGCCGGGCGACGGUUGUCCCGGUUUAAGCGUGUAGGUGUGUGUUCCAGGUAAAUCCGGUUCACUUUAACACUGAGGCGUGACGACGAGGCACUACGGUGCUGAAGCAACAAAUGCCCUGCUUCCAGGAAAAGCCUCUAAGCAUCAGGUAACACGAAAUCGUACCCCAAACCGACACAGGUGGUCAGGUAGAGAAUACCAAGGCGCUUGAGAGAACUCGGGUGAAGGAACUAGGCAAAAUGGUGCCGUAACUUCGGGAGAAGGCACGCUGACACGUAGGUGAAGUGAUUUACUCAUGGAGCUGAAGUCAGUCGAAGAUACCAGCUGGCUGCAACUGUUUAUUAAAAACACAGCACUGUGCAAACACGAAAGUGGACGUAUACGGUGUGACGCCUGCCCGGUGCCGGAAGGUUAAUUGAUGGGGUCAGCGUAAGCGAAGCUCCUGAUCGAAGCCCCGGUAAACGGCGGCCGUAACUAUAACGGUCCUAAGGUAGCGAAAUUCCUUGUCGGGUAAGUUCCGACCUGCACGAAUGGCGUAAUGAUGGCCAGGCUGUCUCCACCCGAGACUCAGUGAAAUUGAACUCGCUGUGAAGAUGCAGUGUACCCGCGGCAAGACGGAAAGACCCCGUGAACCUUUACUAUAGCUUGACACUGAACAUUGAGCCUUGAUGUGUAGGAUAGGUGGGAGGCUUUGAAGUGUGGACGCCAGUCUGCAUGGAGCCGACCUUGAAAUACCACCCUUUAAUGUUUGAUGUUCUAACGUGGACCCGUAAUCCGGGUUGCGGACAGUGUCUGGUGGGUAGUUUGACUGGGGCGGUCUCCUCCUAAAGAGUAACGGAGGAGCACGAAGGUUGGCUAAUCCUGGUCGGACAUCAGGAGGUUAGUGCAAUGGCAUAAGCCAGCUUGACUGCGAGCGUGACGGCGCGAGCAGGUGCGAAAGCAGGUCAUAGUGAUCCGGUGGUUCUGAAUGGAAGGGCCAUCGCUCAACGGAUAAAAGGUACUCCGGGGAUAACAGGCUGAUACCGCCCAAGAGUUCAUAUCGACGGCGGUGUUUGGCACCUCGAUGUCGGCUCAUCACAUCCUGGGGCUGAAGUAGGUCCCAAGGGUAUGGCUGUUCGCCAUUUAAAGUGGUACGCGAGCUGGGUUUAGAACGUCGUGAGACAGUUCGGUCCCUAUCUGCCGUGGGCGCUGGAGAACUGAGGGGGGCUGCUCCUAGUACGAGAGGACCGGAGUGGACGCAUCACUGGUGUUCGGGUUGUCAUGCCAAUGGCACUGCCCGGUAGCUAAAUGCGGAAGAGAUAAGUGCUGAAAGCAUCUAAGCACGAAACUUGCCCCGAGAUGAGUUCU